This 253-nucleotide ribosomal RNA is filed under the name uncultured bacterium. RNAcentral's name for it is "partial 16S ribosomal RNA". It matches the Rfam family "Bacterial small subunit ribosomal RNA", at positions 524 to 776 of the family's 1533-position model. The record is from RNAcentral.
GACAGAGGGUGCAAACGUUGUUCGGAAUUACUGGGCGUAAAGCGUGUGUAGGCAGCCACGUAAGUCGGAUGUGAAAGCCCCGGGCUCAACCCGGGAAGUGCACUCGAUACUGCGUGGCUUGAGUACUGGAGAGGUUGGUGGAAUUCUCGGUGUAGAGGUGAAAUUCGUAGAUAUCGAGAGGAACACCGGUGGCGAAGGCGGCCAACUGGACAGAUACUGACGCUGAGACACGAAAGCGUGGGGAGCAAACAGG